Molecule: unclassified non-coding RNA, 199 nt
Filed under: uncultured Sebacina
Lineage: Eukaryota; Fungi; Basidiomycota; Agaricomycetes; Sebacinales; Sebacinaceae
Description: sequence contains ITS2
Source: RNAcentral
GUACUCUCACACUUCUGAUCCUUUGGAUUGGGAGCGGUGGACUUGGGUGUUGCCGCUUUACUGUGGCUCACCUCUAAUGCAUUAGUGCAACUCUUGGUUGGACAUAGUACGGCGUGAUAAGUAUCUUCGCCGGCACCUCACAAGAGGGUGGCUGAUCAGGAGCUCUGUGCUUCAAACCGUCCUUGGACAAUGGCUGACA